UGUGUCAGGUCUAGUGCCCUACCACCCUGAAUGCAUUCCAUCUCAGAAGCUACGCAGGGUGGGCCUGGUUAGUACUUGGGUGGGAGAAUGUGUGUCAGAUGUUGAGCCUGGCAUCU
Molecule: ribosomal RNA, 116 nt
Organism: Ictidomys tridecemlineatus (thirteen-lined ground squirrel)
Lineage: Eukaryota; Metazoa; Chordata; Mammalia; Rodentia; Sciuridae
Source: Ensembl